CCUCCUCCUUUUUCCGGGCUUGGGACCGGUUACAAUCAAUGUAGGCGGAGUUAAAAUUGUACACGAAUAAAAUAUUUCGUGUACAAUUUUCUUGAAUCAAAUAAAUUAAAAAAACACAUUUCUUAAAGAAAAAUAAUUAAUUUAAAAACUUACAACAUCCUAUGUUUGGAUAUGCUGCAACUCUUCGGCCAUUAUACUAUCAACGUCUAUCAUCAUAAGCGGCAUCUCUGCUGUAGCCACGUAUGCAGCCAUUCCUUUACGAAAUCUUUUCUGUGAAUGUACAAAGGUGGAAAGAGUAGAAUUAGAAUCACCAAACACUAGUUCGGUCUGUUUCGAGUCGAGAUCGGCUGGUUUCGCUUUGCAACUCCUUAAUACGUGUCUAUUCAAAUG
RNAcentral lists this long non-coding RNA (390 nucleotides) under Olea europaea (common olive). Its description in RNAcentral is "long non-coding RNA (OEUR_LNC014288)". Lineage: Eukaryota; Viridiplantae; Streptophyta; Magnoliopsida; Lamiales; Oleaceae. The record is from RNAcentral.